AUGCACGCUGGCGGCGUGCCUAAUCCAUGCAAGUCGCGCGAACAGACGAGGAGCUUGCUCCUCUGACGUUAGCGGCGGACGGGUGAGUAACACGUGGAUAACCUACCUAUAAGACUGGGAUAACUUCGGGAAACCGGAGCUAAUACCGGAUAAUAUAUUGAACCGCAUGGUUCAAUAGUGAAAGACGGUUUUGCUGUCACUUAUAGAUGGAUCCGCGCCGCAUUAGCUAGUUGGUAAGGUAACGGCUUACCAAGGCAACGAUGCGUAGCCGACCUGAGAGGGUGAUCGGCCACACUGGAACUGAGACACGGUCCAGACUCCUACGGGAGGCAGCAGUAGGGAAUCUUCCGCAAUGGGCGAAAGCCUGACAGAGCAACGCCGCGUGAGUGAUGAAGGUCUUCGGAUCGUAAAACUCUGUUAUUAGGGAAGAACAAAUGUGUAAGUAACUAUGCACGUCUUGACGGUACCUAAUCAGAAAGCCACGGCUAACUACGUG
RNAcentral lists this ribosomal RNA (496 nucleotides) under uncultured bacterium. Its description in RNAcentral is "partial 16S ribosomal RNA". It matches the Rfam family "Bacterial small subunit ribosomal RNA", at positions 29 to 507 of the family's 1533-position model. The record is from RNAcentral.